Molecule: long non-coding RNA, 4404 nt
Organism: Lycium barbarum (goji berry)
Lineage: Eukaryota; Viridiplantae; Streptophyta; Magnoliopsida; Solanales; Solanaceae
Exons: 2
Source: RefSeq, a predicted model, not a curated record
GCAUAAUUGGCCGAAUAGUAUAACAGUAAGGACAUAAUUAGCCUAAUAGUAUAACGAAGGUAUAAAUAAGUCAUUUCUCAAAGUUCACGUAAUUCCUUUUUUGAUAAAGUUCUAGCUUCUCUUUUCUAUAGACACAGAUUUGUUCCUCUAUUUUCUUGCUUUAAACAGGAGCCCCUCUGUCAUGAACACAAAAGACCAAAAUACUUUUCAAAUUUCUGAGAGAAAAUCAACUUUCAGAGAUUGGAUUUGAUUUCAAAGGACUCUUUGAUUUUCGUUUUGGAGCCAUAAAAUUUGAAGUCCGAAACCCUAACCUAGCUCUCCAUCACCUAUAAAUACAUCUCAUUAUCAUCUGUUUGGGAGGAGGUUCUGGCCGCCACUUCUCUCUGGAAAAAAGAUUAUCUUCUCAUCAUUUUUUUUUCAAGGCACUUAGUAUUCAUUCCUUUGUUGUCUCAGAUCUGAGCAUCGUUCAUUUUCGAGGGUGAGUCAGAGAUCCAAAGCCCCGUUCACUGCACCGCAAAAGGUCGGCAAACUGUCCUUUCUUUUUUUUUUUGUAGUUUUCAACACAUUUAUGACUCUGCGUAUAUUGUGAAAUAUUGUUAGUUUCUUUCAGCUUGGUUUAUUUUUAUCCAUGAAAAGAGAUAUCCAACAUGUUUGUUUUAAAUCUUUGGUGCUAUGAGUAUGGGUCGUUAUUCUAUGUUUUGCUAUGAAUCGUCAUUUUGUGUUUGCUGCUUUAUUAAGAAUAUUCAUUAGCUGCUGCCCAAGUAAAAAUUAUGUUCCUAGGACUCAUUUGUUUUUAUAAGCAUUAAAACUCUCAAAGAGCAUGCUUUCACCUGAAGUUGAUAUAUGAAUGAGUGUUAGUCAAUAUAAUUAAGUGUCGUUAAUGGAAUGAACGUAUGGUCUUCUGUUCCCCAUAAUGUUGAGGCUCUAACAUCAUGUAUUCCUUUUAAUGUAUUGAUAUACUUUCAUUAUUCUAGGUUGGACGCUAUAGGAUGUUUCUUUUUGUUAUUAAGUUACAGUACAAUCAUUUAAUGCAAGAGUUAGACAAGAAAAUGGGAAGCCGGUCUAUUAAAAGCCUAAAUCUUUCCCUUGGUUUCUUUUUUUUCCUUUACUACAUUAAAUAUGGUACACUAUUUGGAUAUGUAUAAUUGAGCUUUCCUUGUUAAAUGUUUAGAAACCAUGUAUUAGUAAGCCUUUCUUGGUUAAUAUGAAAAUAGCAUUGCUAUAGGAAAUAGAUACAAUCUGUUUCUCUUCUAAUCUGUUGUAGAUCUUCUCUCGACUUUUGUGUGCAAAGCUUUAUUUACUGGAUGAUGAAUGAAAACACUUGGUUUGUUGUAUUUUUAAACGGUUCGCUGUGGUUCGGAACAUCGAAUGCAAAAUUUGCCUCAUGUUUGGCUUUGAGUGUUUUGAAGCAUCUUCUAGGUGUUAUAGUAAUAAAAUUGCAUUUUUAUUUUACUUUAACAGAAAAAAGUGGGUUGUGAUGGUCUCUUGUUAGUGAUUGUCCUCUUGUUUCACCCAGUAGGGGGUGAUCUUUUGCUGAUGAUGCAAUAUCCUGGAUCUAAGGACAUAUCUUUGUCACUUGUUAUGUUUACUUGUUAGUUGUUACAUAUAUUGUGUUCUGUUAUGCCGUAUCAUAGUGUUGUUUCGGUCCUCAUUAUGUUAAAAAUGAAUAUCCUGACGGCUGGUUUUAAAACAGUGAAGGACUAAUCCUUUCUGGUUCUUUCCCCUUUUAUAUAUCUUAGUAAAGCCAGUUGGACAUUGUUGACCAACUUUCUCAUGCUUUACUUAAAUUCCCUUAUGAGGUUGUCCUGCUAAUCGUUAUUUUCUCUUCUUUUACAUGUACAAUUCUCCGGAGCAAAAUGGAGUCUUCAUAAAAGACUCUCACCGUUGCAUAGUCUCUUGCUGCCAUUAGACAUGGAAUCAGCGUCUCCUUUUUAGUCACCUCUCUCGUUCCCUCCCAAUGCAUCCGAACAAAAAGAGAAGUGAAGCAAGGGGAAAUAUAGAACCCGCAUCCGCUUCUUCGCUCACUUCUUGCCCUCUGAAUAGAAGAAAGAGCAUACUGUUGCAUUUUAGAUUAUCCUAUGAUUAAUUAAUUGUUUUGCUUUCGUAUUUGUGAUUGUGUGUCUAAUUUUAAGAUUAUUGGCCUUAGAAAUCCUACGCUAGAGGGGGGUAAUUGGUAUAUAUUUUUAUGAAUCAUUUUACAAUUCCAAAUGAGUCUAAUUAGAUUUAGGAGCAAUCUAAAUGGAAUUUGAUUUAUCUCUUUCACGUGAAAGCAAAGGGGAAUUUAGUCUCCGGCCAAAGUUAAAAGCUCUGAAUGUUGGUUCAGUUGGCAAACCCUUUUUAAAUACUUUCUUGCUGCCUAUUUGUUUUUAAAACAAGUUAAAGACUUUUAAAACAGUUACCUAAUUUUCUUUACAAGUUGACAAAAGGAAACGACCAUUUUAAGUCUUUGUUUUUUUUAUUUUCGAAAAAAAAAAGUCUUUUGAGUUUAAGAUGGCUAAUCUUACUUUCUUGAAUAGGAAAACCAUUUUAUUAAUUAUAAGUCGCAUCUUUCUUAAUUCAUUUUGGGCUUAAAAAUGUUUUCUUAAUUAAUUACUCGUCUACUUGAUAUCUUAAGACAAAUAUUUAUUUUGAUUUCAAUUCACCUAAGUUUGGCCGGUUAAUCGUAUUUAACGGACCUUAAAGGAUGCUUAACACCUUUCCUUUAGGAUAAUUAGAACCCUUACUUAGAAUCAAAUAAGUUAAGUAGACCAUUAAUCGGAGUUAAUUUUAAGCAUUUAUUUGGUUAAAAUAGGUGCCCUAAUUCAUCGCAAAAGUAAUUAGGUGGCGACUCUUUAAGUUAAAUAAUUAGGAAUCACCAAUAUAUUGUACUCCGCUUUGACCCGGUUAAAAUGGGUAUAACACUAGUACCACAUGCCCCGUCGAGCCACGGGUGGAGGAUGAUCAUGUUAUUGCUCAUGAUAGACCAAGAUGAUUUAUAAAGAAGCCCGCUCGAUAUGUUGACACUGAUGAUGAUGGGCUUAUUGCUUAUGCUCUUGCAGCUGUACAAGAAAUUCCCGAAGGAGUUGACCCUUCUACUUACUCUGAGGCAAUUCUUGUCCUAAUUCUUCAAAUUGGUUAGUGGCUAUGCAAGAAAAGAUGGAAAGUUUGCACAAAAAUAAUACAUAGGAGUUAUGUGAGCUGCCCAAAGACCGUGGUGCAUUGACUGCAAAUAUGGAUCUACAAACUAAAAGAUGGUAUUCCCGGGGUUGAAGAAGCAAGAUGGAAAGCUCGCUUAGUGGUUGGUGGUUGCCACCAAAAGGAAAGGUAUUGACUUUAAUGAAGUUUUCUCUCAUGUUGUUCGCCAUACCUCCAUUAGAGUGUUACUUGUUAUUGUUGCUCUUUUUGACUUGGAGUUGGAGCAACUUGGUGUUAAAACUGCGUUUCUUCAUGAGAGUUAGAAGAAGAAAUUUAUAUGAAGCAACCCGAAGGUUUUGUUGUUCCUGGCAAGGAGCAAUUUGUUUGUCAGUUGAAAAGAUCUCUUUAUGGCCUUAAACAAGCUCCAAGACAGUGGUGCAAAAGGUUUGAUUCCUUAAUGACUGGGCAAGACUACACACGUAGUAAGUAUGAUAAUUGUAUGUAUUUUCGACAGUUUUCUGGUGGUUCCUUCGUUUACUUGUUGUUAUAUGUUGAUUGCCUCUAAAGACAAGUCUUUGAUCAAUAAGUUAAAAUCUCAACUUAAUUCUAAGUUUGAGAUGAAGGACCUUGGUGUAGCUAAGAAGAUUCUAGGUAUGGAGAUUCACAGGGAUCGAAAAGCUGGAAGGCGAUGACCCAAAAGCAAAAACAAAGAAAAAAGAAAAAAAAUUGCCCACGAAUGAAGAUUCGAAGGUCCGUCGAUCCAUCCUUUGGGGCGUCGAUAAGUUAAAUUUUCCAGUGAUAGCCUAAGUUGAAGAGGACAAAGGACGGAGCGAUCGACGGAGCGUCGACUGGAUCGACGUUUCGUCAUUUGUCUCGUAAAACAGACUUGUCCACUAGAAGAGAGAAAGACGAAAGAAUCGACGGAGCAUCGAACUGAUCGACGACACCGUCGACUGGACCAUCAAACUGAAGAACUAAAAGACGAAGGAUCGACGGUCCGUCGAUUCUGCCACCAGAGGCAGUUUUGCCAAUUGCUGAUGUGCGUUUUUUGGAGUCUAUUUAAAGAAUAUUUUAGGUUUUUGUACACAUCAGAUUUCUCUCCAACAUUUAACACUUUUUUCAUUGGUGGAUGAGCAUUGAAUACACCACUUUUGGAGCUUAGUGAAGACAAAAACAUUCCUUUCUCACCAUCUUUAUUAAAAUUUGUAAGCUUUAUGUCUCCAUUAUUGCUUACUACUUUUGUGACCUACAUGUGUGAGUAGUUUCUUUAAUUAAAGUUGUGGACCCAAA